UUCAAAUAAUUUAUGUAAAUAUUCUUCCCUCAAAGAAGAAGAGCCUAACUUUAUACUCCUUAUGUAUGCACUGCGUAUAGUAACUUCUCCCAAUGAGUAUGGUAUGGAAAAGGCACUAGAGGAUAAACUUAACAGUAGAGAAACCUGACAAAUGCUACGUCAUCCAGUCUAAUCAUGAAAAACACAGCAGCACAUUCCACUGGAGGAGCGUUGUACAAAUAUCUGUUCGGGACUCCUUAUAACUGCCAAAGGCAUCAGAAUAAGAAGUCUCAGAAACAGCCUGAACCUAGAGAAGCCCAAGGAGACAAGACUGCUAAAUACAAUGUAAUAUUUUGAAUGAAAUCUGGAACAGAAAAAAGACAUUCAGUUAAAACUGAGGAAAUAUGAUUAAAAUCUGGUCUUUUGUUAAUAAUAA
Ictidomys tridecemlineatus (thirteen-lined ground squirrel) is the source of this 415-nucleotide non-coding RNA. The record is from RefSeq and is a predicted model, not a curated record. NCBI's taxonomy places the organism in Eukaryota, Metazoa, Chordata, Mammalia, Rodentia, Sciuridae.